GCCUGCCACCACGCCCGGCAAUUUUUUUAUUUUUAGUAGAGAUGGGGUUUCUCUACUAAACCCAGGCUGGUCUCAAAUUCCUGACCUCAAGUGAUCUGCCUGCCUCGGCUUCCCAAAAUGCCGGGAUUACAGGAGUGAGCCACCCCAGGUGAAUUUUCUUAUUUCUUUAAGAGAUUAUUUUAUAUUCUUCUAUCAAUAGAUAAUUACCAGGAAGUCCUGCUAAAUCUCUAGGUUAGUUAAGUGCUCCUCUUCUGGGUUCCCAGACAACCCCGUACCUACCCCAAUUUUAACUCUGUAGCAGAACUUGUUUUUUUUUUGUUUUUACAUGCCUGUCUACCCCUGCUAGAUUGCAAACUCUGAGAUUUUAGACUGACCCUUAACUUUCAUUAUAUCCCUCAGUAACUAGCACAGUAUUUGGCAAAUAUCUAAUAAGCUAUAUAUAUAUAUAUAAUGGUUGAACUGAUUUGACUUUUUUUGAAGGCUCACCAUGAUCCUUGUCAACUUCUCCAGCCUCACAUCCCUAAACAGUGGCAUAGAAGUCUUAGUUUUAGUUCAGCACAAAGACCAGUUUCUUACUGUACAGCUUCUGUUCAAGCAAUCCUUUUCCCUUUACUCCUCCCAACCGCCACCACAAGACAUCCCACUUCAACUCUCUGGAAUCAUUUUCUCCUGGAAGUUUUUCCUGACCCAUGACCUCUUCCCAAAGUUGGAUUAAUGCUUCUUCUGAGCUUCAAUAGCUCUCUGUGCAUUUAUCUCUGCACUAUACACAUUACAUCAUAGGGUAAUAAUGCAAACACUCCACCCAAGUUCUUUUUCAUUCAUGUUGGUAUCUUCCAAGAUUAGCACACUGCCUGGCACACAGCAGAUGAGUUAACAAUGUGAUUUGAAUAAAAAGAACGUGGAACAGGGAAAGAAUCUUGGCACACUGUGUGUUUUAGGGAUGCACGGACGUGGAAAUGCAAAUAAUUGGUUGUUUACUAUAUUUUCCUAAGACAUGGCUGGAACUAAAAAAAAAACAGAAAAAGCCUUUCCAAUUUUGAGGCUAAAGUUCAAGUCACAAAACAAGCAAUAAAAGCCUGUUUAGCAAGGAUAGUAAAAUGGUAUAGGGCUAUAAAAGAAGGGACAAAUUAGAAAUCAGGAAAGCAGGCCAUUCAUACAAAUGCAAAUAAAUUGGUUCACAGGAUAAGAGGACACCCAAUCAUGUAAAAACUGGUACAAGCCAGGCACGGUGUCUUAGGCCUGUAAUCCCAGCACUUUGGAAGGCCAAGGCGGGUGGAUCACCUAAGGUCAGGAGUUCGAAACCAGCCUGACCAAUAUGGUGAGACCACGUCUCUACUAACAAUACAAAAAGUAGUCAGGCGUGGUGGUGUGCGCCUGUAGUCCCAGCUACUAG
RNAcentral lists this long non-coding RNA (1393 nucleotides) under Homo sapiens (human). RNAcentral describes it as "non-protein coding lnc-FAM135A-3:1". Lineage: Eukaryota; Metazoa; Chordata; Mammalia; Primates; Hominidae. The record is from RNAcentral.